This 409-nucleotide unclassified non-coding RNA is filed under the name Tolpis azorica. RNAcentral describes it as "partial external transcribed spacer". The record is from RNAcentral. Lineage: Eukaryota; Viridiplantae; Streptophyta; Magnoliopsida; Asterales; Asteraceae.
GCAAAGGUAGAAUCAUCAAAGACCCUACCGCCCACAUCAUCAGGUUCCAUAUCCAAGAGACCAAGCGACGCCCCGAGGGCCAUGCCAUCCAUGCGUGAGCAAAGACAACAUGGGCCACAGAGACCGCUUCGAGGUUCGUUCMACGCCGCAAGCAGCGCAUUACGAAUAUGUACUUCGAUCGAGCCAWACGAUGCCCKUGAUWAGGUAUGCAACACAGGAAACCCACCGUAAGCACAAGACAAACAAGGCCUUGUAGCACAACUGAAGAGGCUUGAACGCAUGAAAGUUCCUGCACAAGCAGCCAACAAACACCCGUAACAARCCAAACACAACUCAUACACCUUUACAACAAGCAUUCCAGAGGACGACCUAGCUUCCAGCCACUCCCUUGGCACUAACACCAAGCAAG